GUCUCGAGGGAGCACAUAUUCUAAAACUGGAACGAUACAGUGAAGACUAGCAUGGCUCCCGCUCAAGGAUGACACGCAAAUUCAUGAAGUGCUCCAUAUUCUC
Ornithorhynchus anatinus (platypus) is the source of this 103-nucleotide small nuclear RNA. Lineage: Eukaryota; Metazoa; Chordata; Mammalia; Monotremata; Ornithorhynchidae. The record is from RefSeq and is a predicted model, not a curated record.